UACGGAGGAUUCAAGCGUUAUCCGGAAUUACUGGGUGUAAAGGGUGAGUAGGCGGGAAGGCAAGUCAGAUGUGAAAUGCAGGAGCCCAACUCCUGAACUGCAUUUGAAACUGUUUUUCUUGAGAGUCGGAGGGGUAAUCGGAAUUCCCAGUGUAGCGGUGAAAUGCGCAGAGAUUGGGAGGAACACCAGUGGCGAAGGCGGAUUAUUGGACGACAACUGACGCUGAUACACGAAAGCGUGGGGAGCAAAC
Molecule: ribosomal RNA, 250 nt
Filed under: uncultured prokaryote
Description: partial 16S ribosomal RNA
Rfam family: Bacterial small subunit ribosomal RNA
Source: RNAcentral